UGAGUAUUGACUCCUCAUCUAAAAAAUAGGUCUAAAAAUUGUACUUCAGUUGGAUUUCAUGAAGACUCAAUGAGAUGAGGACUGCAGAAUGCCUGAAAGAGUUUGCACUGACACUCUACUGCAAUGGUUCCUCAUCUUUUGUGGAGUACAGUCUCCUUGAGAAAAAGAGAAGCACCAUGGAAAUAUGUACAUAAUUCACAUGAGGUUGUGCACACACUUACAGGAAGUGUGGAGUCCCCUUGAUGCCUGUCAGUGAAUGCCCGAGUCACCUCUGGCCACCGACAUUAGAGAAAGUAGCUGGGAUGAUACCAGUUUAGGACAGUCUGUGUCAGAGCAUUUGAGCUGAAUCUCCAAACCCAAACAUGCUUUGGAAGAAGCAUAUAGAGACCUUGUUGGGAAGCAUUCUGCACUGAGAUUAAUUAAAACUAUCGGUAACACAUUAUUUUUGACUACACGGCAUGUAAAACAAGAGAUAGUCUAUGUGCUGCACAAAAACAUUUCUUUGGCUCAAGUCUUUUAUCUUCACGGUUUAAGCUAACAGAUCUCUGUUGCACAACGUGGAAAAUUGAAGUAAACCUUGAACUGGAAUGUUCAGAGUGUACAGAGAAUCUUCCCAGAGGCUGUAACAACACAGUAGAUUGAAAAGAGAAGCAUAUGUAAGAAUCCAACUAUCUUCCCUAAAGCACUUUGGGAGGCCAAGGCAGGAGGAUCACCUAAGGUCAGGAGUUCGAGCCAGCCUGACCAACAUGGCGAAACCCCAUUUCUACUAAAAAUACAAAAAUUAGCUGGGCAUGGUGGCAGGUGCCUGUAAUCCCAGCUACAUAGGAGGCUGAGGCAGGAGAAUAGCUUGAACCCGGGAGGCAAAUGUUACAGCGAGCCAAUAUGGCACCACCGCACUCCAGCCUGGGUAACAAAGGGCGAAACUCUGUCUAAAAAUAAUAAUAAUAAUGAGUACUGAGCUACGUUCACUGUGACUUUGGCUUGUGGGAGAAAGAGUCCAUGUCAGUCUUGUUGUGCCUCUAAAUGCUUUUUGGAGGGCUUCCUGGCUUCUUUUAUUCCUGUACAUUUGCGAUUAAUUGUGUUUAAGGUUUGGAUGAGGCAGGGACCCAGAAGAGACAUUAAGCUGCAUCACUCAAUAAAACAUUGCCUUUUCAUCCCGAGGCAUGACCCUCUGGACUUCAGUGGGGUCACUGUUGGGAUAUCAAGGUCUGUGUGCCCUGGAAUAGCAGUUGCCAUGAAAGAGCCAGGGUGGAGAUCUUCAAGUACUGGACAGCAUGGGCAAACCUGAGGCUCUUUUGAGUGGGAGAAAAGAGCUCAAACUUUAAAACUGGCCUGAGGAGCAGCAAGCAGGUCCCCAGUGCAUUCUUCACAGCGCUUUCCACCUUUAAUUUAGAUAUUUCAAGGGAAAUUUAAUCCAUAUGUUUUGGAUUCAUUUGGACUCAACUCAUAAAUAUGCUUCAUCAAGAACUGCCAAGCUCUGUGUUCCUGUUCACUAGAAUAAAGUAGUUUCAUGGGACAGCAGUACAGACAGAGGAAAUUUGAUAUCCAAGGGUCCAUCACCCAAACAAGAAAAA
Molecule: long non-coding RNA, 1574 nt
Filed under: Macaca mulatta (Rhesus monkey)
Lineage: Eukaryota; Metazoa; Chordata; Mammalia; Primates; Cercopithecidae
Description: lncRNA (ENSMMUG00000050644.1)
Source: RNAcentral